Molecule: microRNA precursor, 87 nt
Organism: Cercocebus atys (sooty mangabey)
Lineage: Eukaryota; Metazoa; Chordata; Mammalia; Primates; Cercopithecidae
Gene: MIR521-1
Product: microRNA 521-1
Source: Ensembl
UCUCAUGCUGUGACCCUCCAAAGGGAAGUACUUUCUGUUGUCUAAAAGAAAAGAACGCACUUCCCUUUGGAGUGUUACCGUUUGAGA